AUUAUUUUGGCAGACUAGUGCAAUUGAUUUAGAAUCUUUAAAUAUAUUAAUAUUAUAAGUAAUA
Molecule: transfer RNA, 64 nt
Filed under: Tenebrionoidea sp. 3 KM-2017
Lineage: Eukaryota; Metazoa; Arthropoda; Insecta; Coleoptera
Description: tRNA-Leu
Source: RNAcentral